GACGAACGCUGGCGGCAUGCCUAAUACAUGCAAGUCGAACGAUGAUAUCACUGCUUGCAGUGAUUGAUUAGUGGCGAACGGGUGAGUAACACGUGAGGAACUUGCCCAUGAGCGGGGGACAACGAUUACGGAAACGGAUGCUAAUACCCCAUAGGUGGAUUGGUCGCAUGACUAAUUCAUUAAAGGUGGCUCUGCUACCACUCAUGGAUAGCCUCGCGGCGUAUUAGCUAGUUGGUAGGGUAAUGGCUUACCAAGGCAGUGAUACGUAGCCGACUUGAGAGGGUGAUCGGCCACACUGGGACUGAGACACGGCCCAG
RNAcentral lists this ribosomal RNA (317 nucleotides) under uncultured bacterium. RNAcentral describes it as "bacterial SSU rRNA". It matches the Rfam family "Bacterial small subunit ribosomal RNA", at positions 28 to 334 of the family's 1533-position model. The record is from RNAcentral.